GUAUAUCAUCGCCGGUGAAACUAGCAUAUCAAUAAGCGGAGGAAAAGAAACCAACAGGGAUUGCCCUAGUAACGGCGAGUGAAGCGGCAACAGCUCAAAUUUGAAAUCUGGCUUCGGCCCGAGUUGUAAUUUGCAGAGGAAGCUUUAGGCGCGGCACCUUCUGAGUCCCCUGGAACGGGGCGCCACAGAGGGUGAGAGCCCCGUAUAGUUGGAUGCCUAGCCUGUGUAAAGCUCCUUCGACGAGUCGAGUAGUUUGGGAAUGCUGCUCAAAAUGGGAGGUAAAUUUCUUCUAAAGCUAAAUACCGGCCAGAGACCGAUAGCGCACAAGUAGAGUGAUCGAAAGAUGAAAAGCACUUUGAAAAGAGGGUUAAAUAGCACGUGAAAUUGUUGAAAGGGAAGCGCUUGUGACCAGACUUGCGCCGGGCGGAUCAUCCGGUGUUCUCACCGGUGCACUCCGCCCGGCUCAGGCCAGCAUCGGUUCUCGCGGGGGGAUAAAGGCCCAGGGAACGUAGCUCCUCCGGGAGUGUUAUAGCCCGGGGCGUAAUGCCCUCGCGGGGACCGAGGACCGCGCUCUGCAAGGAUGCUGGCGUAAUGGUCACCAGCGACCCGUCUUGAAACACGGACCAAGGAGUCAAGGUUUUGCGCGAGUGUUUGGGUGUAAAACCCGCACGCGUAAUGAAAGUGAACGUAGGUGAGAGCUUCGGCGCAUCAUCGACCGAUCCUGAUGUAUUCGGAUGGAUUUGAGUAGGAGCGUUAAGCCUUGGACCCGAAAGAUGGUGAACUAUGCUUGGAUAGGGUGAAGCCAGAGGAAACUCUGGUGGAGGCUCGCAGCGGUUCUGACGUGCAAAUCGAUCGUCAAAUCUGAGCAUGGGGGCGAAAGACUAAUCGAACCAUUUAUUGGGGG
Molecule: ribosomal RNA, 904 nt
Filed under: Achaetomium sp. YG-2013
Lineage: Eukaryota; Fungi; Ascomycota; Sordariomycetes; Sordariales; Chaetomiaceae
Description: eukaryotic LSU rRNA
Rfam family: Eukaryotic large subunit ribosomal RNA
Source: RNAcentral